Molecule: long non-coding RNA, 2339 nt
Organism: Carassius gibelio (silver crucian carp)
Lineage: Eukaryota; Metazoa; Chordata; Actinopteri; Cypriniformes; Cyprinidae
Exons: 7
Source: RefSeq, a predicted model, not a curated record
AUGCAUUAGGAUAGUGUGUGCAUUAACAGAAACUGUUUUAUCGUCUGAAAGACCUCUUUGGUAACACAACUGACCUAUCGGUAAGCCCCUUCCCUCAAACUCAGACAUCUUUAGGUUUCAGCGCCAUAGAGAAUCCCUGGAAGAUCCAAAGCUCACAUCGGUUUGAUGGUGUUUGCUACAAAAAUAGAGAAAUUAUGUGCCUGGAAAUUAUGUUAUGUACCCUUUAAACCUUUAAUUAAACCCAUUUAAUUAACUUUUGUGCUUUUCUAUAGUAUUUAGCCUCAAAUGCCAAAUAUACAUUGGAUUGCCCUGCUGAAAAAAACAAUAGAAACCAUUACAGAAUUUGUAAUGGUUUUAAUGGUUCUUAUUGGAAUUCUAAUGGUUUUAAUGGACACUGUAAUGGUCUCUGUGGGUCUCUAUUGGUAAUUUGCUUUCUUCUAUUGGUGGCGUGUAUUGUCUAUUGGAUACCAUUAAGGACCAAUAGAACACCUUUAGAAACUUCUAGUGGUAUCUACUGGACACCAGUAGAAACCAUUAUGACUCCAAUAAAUUUAGUGGUUUCUUUGGAAAACUGUAAUGGUCUUAGUGGGUAGGCUACUGCUGAAAAAAAAUGAACACACGAACAAUAGAAACUAUUACAAAAUUUGUAAUGGUUUUAAUGGUUAUAAUGGGAAUUAUGUUGGUUGUAAUGGUCACAGUAAUGGUCCCUGUGGGUCUCUAUUGGUAAAUUGCUUUCUUCUAUUGGUGGUAUGUAUUGUCUUGGAUUGCCACCAUACGUCAUUUGGAAAGGUUAUUUUUAAUUCAUUUAAUUUUUUUUUUUUUUUUUUUUUUUUUAAUCAACUCGACUCGUCAUGGCCUUCAAAAUUGACUUGAAAAGUUGGUCUUUGUUUUGUCUGUCGGAUUUGGUCCAAAUUUAGCCCAAAAAUAGAUGUGAAAUAACAGUGAAAUUCUGCGUGACUUCCACGUGCUGUAAUGUGCGCGCACGCAGAACUGGAGCGGAGGACGUCACCAUGGAAACGAGGCGGCAGCCCAACCGUCAAGCAGCUGAUCGCUGACACUCAAUGUGGUUUCACUUUUUUUUUAGAAAUGGUUUAGCGUCGUCAGAAAAAGUCCGUUAGCAUCUCAAAGAAGUGCCAGAAAAAAACCUCUAUGACGCAGGAGAAGUUCCUGAUUUUAACAUUUCUGAAGGGAGCUGCUGACAGAGAGGAUGAAAACAUACACAUUUUGAUGUCCACGCUGUAGGAGCAUUACUAAAUAAGUUCUUCCAUGCUGAUGGCUGUGCUCUAGUCAUAUCUCCUGUCGAAGAACAUUUUUAGACAUUAUGAACCAUGAAUAAGUUUAGCUCCAACCCCAGUUAAGCGGACCUGAGCAGCUGAUCAAGGAUCACCAGAAACUCUGCAGAACGGUGGUCCUCCAGCCCAGGACUGGACACCAGUGUUAGUGUCUGUCUCAGAAGCUGAAGAAAAAAGGCCACACCUUAUAGGAAAUAAACGCCUCCUAAGUGUAUGGAAAUACCUGGCUGAGGAGAUCAGUGACAUAAACCAGAUAAAACUGUCAGUGGUCUGAGACAGCUACAAGCCACAAAAACAGUUCAUAGUUCCUGCAUUUCUAUAAUGCAUUAAUGAAUAACAAUAAUUUAAAUAAAAUGUAAUGUCAAGGUUUUGUGUUAAUUCCAGCUAUGUUGAGUAUUCUGUGAAUAAUUUUGAUUUUAGGUGCAUAUUCUUAAUUCUUUGCAAAACAACCUGAACUGUUUGCUAUUGAAAGGUUGGUAUGAAGUUUAAAUAAAUAAAAACAUUAUAUUCUUGACAAAACCUGUGUACAGUUUGUAUUAAUAAUUUAAAUUAUUUACUUAUAUUAAUUAAUGGCCUAAUUACCAGCUAUCAGUUAAACAUUCAAAUCAGAACCAAUAUAAAAGUGCAACGAAAACUAUUAAAUAUAUGCAAAUAAAGACCAGUACAAACUUGCAAUGGAACCAUCAGAACCAUUACAAAACUGACGGAAACCAUUAAAUUUGUUUUAAUAAAGACCAAUACAAACUUGUAAUGGAACCAUCAGAACCAUUACAAAACCAACGGAAACCAUUAAAUUUGUUUGAAUAAAGACCAAUACAAACUUGUAAUGGAACCAUCAGAACCAUUACAAAACCAACAGAAACCAUUAAAUUAGUUUUAAUAAAGACCAAUACAAACUUGUAAUGGAACCAUCAGAACCAUUACAAAACCAACAGAAACCAUUAAAUUUGUUUUAAUAAAGACCAAUACAAACUUGUAAUGGAACCAUCAGAACCAUUACAAAACCAACAGAAACCAUUAAAUUUGUUUGAAUAAAGACCAAUACAA